UCAAAUUUGAGCUUCUUUUUCACCCACAGCCAAGAGACCCGUGUCACCUUACAGUGGCUACAAUGGGCAGCUGCUGACGAGUGUGUACCAGCCCACUGAGAUGGCCCUGAUGCACAAAGGCCCGUCCGAAGGCGCUUAUGACGUCAUCCUCCCACGGGCCACCGCCAACAGCCAGGUGAUGGGCAGUGCCAACUCAACCCUGCGAGCUGAAGACAUGUACGUGGUCCAGAGCCACCAGGUGGCCACACCACCGAAAGACAGCAAGAUCUCUCAGGAUCAGUCCCCGAAAAGCAAAACGAGAUGGUAGAUGCCCUCUUCCCUGGACCACACCUCAUCCGGAUACCCUCAUUGCUCUGCACCCAGCUGAGCAGGGCUCAGCAGUUUACCCACCUUUGUCCUUGGAGCUGGGAGGGACCAGAGGCUACCAAUCGGAA
This is a long non-coding RNA of Peromyscus leucopus (white-footed mouse), 434 nucleotides long. RefSeq lists it as uncharacterized. The transcript is spliced from 3 exons. The record is from RefSeq and is a predicted model, not a curated record. NCBI's taxonomy places the organism in Eukaryota, Metazoa, Chordata, Mammalia, Rodentia, Cricetidae.